AUCUUUUGCCAUACUUCCCAUCAAGAGGUAGAGUCUAUUCCCUUUUGCUGAAUUAGAUGGAGCUUUGUGACAUGCUGUAAUCAAUAAAAUGAAGUGGAUGUUGUGCUUGUUCAGACUGGGCUAGGUUUUAAAGAGGCCUGGUAGUUUUUGUUCUUACUCUCACAUAGAACCCAGCUGCUGUGCUGUAAGGAAGGCAGUCUGGACUGCUAGAGGAAAAGAGAUUACUUAAGGAAUUGAAGCACCCCAGCUGACAGCACCAACUUCAAGUCACGUUAAUGAGACCAUAUUAGAUAUUCCAUUUCCAACUGAUUUCAGCCUUAUGAGGGAUCAUGAUAAUGCCAUGUAAGGCAGGGAUGAGCCACCCAUGCUGAGCCCUGUCCAAAUAGAAUCUUGAGAGAAAACACGAGGUUUUUGCUUUAAGCUACUAAGCUUUGGGUAGGUUUAUUAAACAGCAAUAGGUAACUGAAACACCCAGAUUGUGGAUGAAAAACGGAGGCUCAGAAAGGCUAAGCAACUUGUCCAUGGUUUAGGAGCUAGGAAGCAGCACAACCUGUAUUCAAACCCAGGACCAUCUGACACCAAAAUCCAUAAUCAUAACUGGCGAACUACAUAGUGCCUCCUACAGAAUAACCAAAUUCUGAAGAAUAAUUCACAAAGUAAAUUUUUGUUCCUUCCUUAUUCCAGACAUUACCUAAUGUAGGUUGGACUAAUAAAUAGCAAGACACGUCAGUCUUAAGACCAUAAAGAAUAAAAAUGUUAGAGUUAGAAAUGAAGCAAAAAUGAUCUCUGCCAAGAUCUCACUUCUUGAAAUUGAAAGAAGGUAUCUCACUGGAAGGUGGGUACAGAGCUCUAAAUUUGUUUUCUGGUUUUCAAAAACAACGAUACAAAUAAACAUCUGUUCUCACCUUUAGGAAAUCAGAGAUACAUUAACGCUUAGGGUGGUGAAUGGAAAUUGACAACAGGUGAUUGGUUGGCUCUUUGAAAUUCUCCAGAUGAAUCAUUCUGGGAGAAAAAAAAAAGGAGUACAUUUGUGUUUCAAAGCAUCUCUAAACCCAUCAUUUUCUAAAAUUCCUUACUGCCUGAAAAGCUGCUGGAGCCAUUUAUUCAACAAGCAGGUAGUGACACCUACUCCAUGCAAGUCUCUAAGAACUCCCUGUAUCAAAACCAUGAAGUGUUUUUAUUUCAAUGUACGGGAAUGCUUGCCCAGAAGUCAUUAUUUUAUAAAUCUCACCCCAUCCAGAAGAGAGCUCCAACUGGAAAAGGAAGACAAUGCCAAUGAGCAGUCAAAAUCGGCAUAUCACAGAGUCUGUAUAUUUCAACUUGAGUGCUUUCCUCAUAGGGGACCUUCAGAGUCCCUCAUUCAAAGCCUAUUCAUAUUUAUUUUUAUUUUAUUUAUUUUAUUUUUGAGACAGAGUUUUUGCUCUUGUUGCCCAGGCUGGAGUGCAGUGGCACAAUCUCGUCUCACUGCAACCUCUGCCUCCUGGGUUCAAGAGAUUCUCCUGCCUCAGCCUCCCAAGUGGCUGGGAUUGCAGGUACAUGCCACCAUGCCCAACUAAAGUUUUGUUUUUUGUUUUUUGUUUUUUGUUUUUUUGUAUUUUUAGUGGAGACAGGGCUUCACCAUGUUGGCCAGGCUGGUCUCAAACUCCUGACCUCAGGUGAUCCACCUGCCUCGGCCUUCUAAAGUGCUGGGAUUACAGGCGUGAGCCUCCGCACCCAGCCUAUUCAUGUUUAUUUUUGACGCGAUUCUAACCAGUCUAAUUCUCCCAUUUCCCAGCCUGCAGUAGAUUAGAGGCAGCAAAUGGGAAGGGAGAGUAGUGUUUGCAGCGGGAACACUGAACACAAUGGGAAUAUCCACCAACAGCAAAUUUUGCAGAGGGAUAAAAAACAAAACAACUAACUCAAAAACGCAUCAGAUUCCGGGGUCACUUUGCUUGGACACAAGUAACUGCAACAUCAAGUGCUCUUGAGGGCAUGAAUGCAGUAGAAUGCAGUGUGACGGUGGAUAUCCAGGAAGUGACCCUCGAAAGAGUACAUUGCAUUUCGUUUAAGAAGGCGAGAAGCACAUAACUCAUUUGAGAGAUAACAUAAAACAAACUCAGAUAAUUACAUAUGUGUCACCUUAUUCCUUUACAGUAAGGGAGAAGUCACUGCAAUUUUAUAGUCAAUUGUUGUACCACUGAGCUCUAUUCCCCAACACCGUAAUGUUGAAGGGCAAAACGACCCCCAUGUGAAAACAAUGCAAGCAAUGUUGACUUUCCUUCGUUCACUUCUUAAAGCUCUCUAAGGUUUGCUGAAGGAAUACAGAACUGAGCAUGAGUGUAUUUUCAUCCCUAGGUAUUUUGUGUUGGUUCCCUGGAAACACAGGUAAAGAAAUGAAAAGCAGAGAUGAAAUGACUCACCCAAGAUCCUUCAGCAAAACCAUUAGCCCAGGCAAGAAAAGAAGACCCAGAAGGAGGGAGUGCCUGGUAGGUGGUGGGCACUCACUAAUAUUCACAAAAGGAGGGGAGAAAAUAGAAAGACUAUUGGUUAUUUGCGAGAAAGCAUUUGUUCUAAGAGUUUGCCAAGUCUCUCAGCUAUAAUAGAAGAAAAGACCUGUGGUCACAGGGUCACAGAUGGCUAUAAGUGGCUCUGGAACCCAAUGUGAUCCAAAUGAAAGAAACAUUCUCCAAGGAAUGAAGCAAUGGCUGGAACACCCCUGCUCCCCACAAUGAGCAAGGAGGGAUGGCAUUUAGGAACUGGAGAUGUUAAUAUGAAGUGUUUUGAGUAACUCCUAAAUACUACUACUUAGUUCUUCUGUGGCACUUUCCCACCUCAAAAGCGCUUUACAAACAUUAACUAAUUAAAUCAGCAUGACUUCGGGAAGGGAAAAUUGAGCCUCUUUAAUCUGUUUGAAUUCUCAGAAAAAGCUAAUAAAAUUAAGGUGUAAUGUUCAUUGAAAAGGAGUACACAGAACCAUAAACAGCUUUUGUGAGGGAUUAAAUAUCCAAGUGUGGUGGUGGCAUUUGAUGUCCUCGGAAGCUAUUUAUGGCGAUGUUAUGUCACUGCUCCAACAUCAACCACUGAAGACUGAGUUGCAAAUACCAAGGAGGCUCUGUCUCUGCAAGCAGUCUGUGGCUGCCUGUGGUCACCUGUCGUAAGAUUUUUUUGUUUUUUGUUUUCUGGGCAGGACUUGUCUGAGCCAUGGGUUGAUUGGAAGCAGAAAGGAGGAGGACAUCUGCCUUGAGGGCCAGUCAAACUCUAGCCACCAUUUUACAGAAGGGGCCUUCUAAAGAGGUGCAGGGAUUAGACACCUUCCCAGUUCAGAGCUCAGAACUCUGGUGGGUUCAGGGCACUGGGAAGGUGUCUGAUCUACUUGGUGCAGAGCUGGACAAUCUGCUUCCAUUCAGAUAUUUGGUUGCUGCUGGCACUACAGAAAUGUUUUAAAAUAGUCAAAGUUUUGGUCUGGCACAGUGGCUCAUGCCUGUAAUCCCAGCACUUUGGGAGGCCAAGGCAGACAGAUCAGGAGAUCAAGAUAUCGAGACCGUCCUGGCUAACACAGUGAAACCCCAUUUUACUAAAAAAAUACAAAAAAUAAGCUGGGCCUGGUCAUAUAAUUUACCCAGCUGCAGUCAUAUAAUUUAGAGAGCCUGGUGACUCUACCAUCAAGCAUAUAGUCUCUGCCGAGCACCCAACUCCCUUAGGCUUACCAUGUGUGAUCACAGAACUCGGGAGGCUGAGGCAGGAGAAUCACUUGAACCCAGGAGGUGGAGGUUGCAGUGAGACGAGAUCAUGGCAAAAGAAAUUGUGUACCUGGGCAACAGAGCAAGACUCGGUCUCAAAAAAAAAAGUCACAGUUUUGAGACUGCACAGUGCCUUCUUCCACUGCAUUCUUUUGUGUGUGUGUGUGUGUGUGUGUGUGUGUGUGUAUGUGUGUGUGUGUCUGUGUGACAGAGUCUCACUCUGUCACCCAGGCUGGAGUGCAAUGGCAUGACUUUGGCUUAUUGCAACCUCUGCCUCCCAGGUUCAAGCAAUUCUCGCAUCUCAGCCUGCCAAGUAGCUGGGGUUACAGGCGUGCACCACCAUGCCUAGCUAAUUUUUGUAUUUUUAGUAGAGACAGGGUUUCCCCAUGUUGGUCAGUCUUGUCUCGAACUCCUGGCCUCAAGUGAUCUGCCUGUCUUGGCCUGCCAAAGUGCUGGGCUUACAGGCAUGAGCCACCAUGUCAGGCCUUCCCACUGUGUUCUUAAUCUGGACAAAUUAUUUUGCUUGCUUUUACAUGUUGCCAUUUGAGGGAUCUGUGGGGAUUGCUCCUGUGUGAGGCCCCUAGGAAAUGGGCCUCACCAUACGGUGAGCUUGAGCCCGGACACAGAUCCCGGGUUGGGGGAGUCGAGCUGAGGGAAAGCAGGAACCAAGAGAGGGACUAUGCUAUUCAAAAUAAUUAACAGACAUUACUUUAUGGAUAUGAGGACUUGGGAGGCAUUGUGUCUACUUUCGGCUCCUUAUGGUUUAUUGCUUGAUUGUGUUCAUUUUGGACCCUUGUUACCUUCAUUGUAAAAUAUUAACUUAAGUAUUUACACUUGGUAACUUACCGUAACUUACUGGGUGUAACUGUAACUUACCAUAACUUACUGGGCGUAACUGUAACUUACUUACCGUAACUUACUGGGCGUAACUGACUUACUGGGUGUAACUUAGUGGGCGUAACUUGCUUACUGUAACUUAAGUAUGUUGAUCUGGCUUAAACAACAUUAACUUCAACAAAGUAUAUAAUGGAACAUAUUGCAAAAAUAAAAUUGCUGCUUGGACAUAGCCUAAGCCAGCCCUCCAGACUCCGCUUUUCUUUUUUCUUUCACUUCCACGCACUCUCUCCCUCAGGUUGAAUGAGACAUCUACGUUGGCGGUCCCAGGGACUCCCACAGGUCGGUAGCCCCCUGGGAGAUGUGCCGGACCCCAAC
Molecule: long non-coding RNA, 4931 nt
Organism: Callithrix jacchus (white-tufted-ear marmoset)
Lineage: Eukaryota; Metazoa; Chordata; Mammalia; Primates; Cebidae
Source: Ensembl